RNAcentral lists this unclassified non-coding RNA (233 nucleotides) under plant metagenome. RNAcentral describes it as "partial contains small subunit ribosomal RNA, internal transcribed spacer 1, and 5.8S ribosomal RNA". The record is from RNAcentral.
UUUCCGUAGGUGAACCUGCGGAAGGAUCAUUCAUGUGUUUGGGCCUCACGGCUCUUCAUUACGCCGCUAUGCGCCUUCGGGCGGCACGCUGAUGGUGCUUAUAUCCACCCCUGUGCACAAACACGGUGGCUAGCUGGUAACGGCUCGCUGCUGAUCUUUCCACACGUCUAAAAGCCAUUGUAUGUUUAUUUGAGAUUAAAACACAACUUUCAGCAACGGAUCUCUUGGCUCUC